RNAcentral lists this non-coding RNA (105 nucleotides) under Clostridium homopropionicum. RNAcentral's name for it is "Glycine sequence". It matches the Rfam family "Glycine riboswitch aptamer". Rfam says of the family: This family represents the bacterial glycine riboswitch. Glycine riboswitches usually consist of two metabolite-binding aptamers domains with similar structures in tandem. The record is from RNAcentral. Lineage: Bacteria; Bacillati; Bacillota; Clostridia; Eubacteriales; Clostridiaceae. RNAcentral also lists the same sequence under 1 other name.
GGACGAGCCUCUGGAGAGAUCCAUUUAGUUGGGCACCGAAGGAGAAAAACAGCAUUAAUGUAUGAUGCUGUUGAAACUCUCAGGUAAAAGGACAGAGGAUAGAAU